This 496-nucleotide ribosomal RNA is filed under the name uncultured bacterium. RNAcentral describes it as "partial 16S ribosomal RNA". It matches the Rfam family "Bacterial small subunit ribosomal RNA", at positions 30 to 523 of the family's 1533-position model. The record is from RNAcentral.
AUUGAACGCUGGCGGAAUGCUUUACACAUGCAAGUCGAACGGUAGAGGGGGCAACCCCUCGAGAGUGGCGAACGGGUGAGUAAUAUAUCGGAACGUGCCCAGUCGUGGGGGAUAACGUAGCGAAAGUUACGCUAAUACCGCAUACGAUCUAAGGAUGAAAGCGGGGGAUCGCAAGACCUCGCGCGAUUGGAGCGGCCGAUAUCAGAUUAGGUAGUUGGUGGGGUAAAGGCUCACCAAGCCAACGAUCUGUAGCUGGUCUGAGAGGACGACCAGCCACACUGGAACUGAGAAACGGUCCAGACUCGUACGGGAGGCAGCAGUGGGGAAUUUUGGACAAUGGACGCAAGUCUGAUCCGGCCAUUCCGCGUGCAGGAUGAAGGCCCUCGGGUUGUAAACUGCUUUUGUACGGAACGAAAAGGUCUCUCUUAAUACGGGGGGCUCAUGACGGUACCGUAAGAAUAAGCACCGGCUAACUACGUGCCAGCAGCCGCCGUAA